AGUUGUAGAUAAUUGAAUUAGCUUUCCAACCAUAGGUCGUGGGCUCCAAGGUGACGUCUGGACAAGGAGAUAUGAACGUUUUAAGUCCGGAAGGUCAGUGGGCUAGGCCCAACUCGGGCCCAACCGGGUUAGGCCCAUGACCCAUGUUAUAUAAGUGAUAUUUCAGCACUUCCCUCCUCAUUUUCAGAACUGGAACAACCAGAAAAUUCUGGAGAUAGAGAGAAAAAAAAAAAGCUUUGGAGAAGAAAAAUCAAUUUUGACCAAAAUCCGAGCCCCGAAUCCCGAAGCCCAUGAAGGAAAAAGUGUUGUACGGUGCAUUGUCUUCAAUUUGAGUUAAAAAUCAACCAAGGAGGGGGGUGAUAACGUGGUGGCCGAAUUCUUAAGAUUUCGGAGGAAACGGGAUUUGAGUUUGGACAAGCGUAAAAA
Molecule: long non-coding RNA, 426 nt
Organism: Lycium barbarum (goji berry)
Lineage: Eukaryota; Viridiplantae; Streptophyta; Magnoliopsida; Solanales; Solanaceae
Exons: 2
Source: RefSeq, a predicted model, not a curated record